UGAUUUAGUUUAGUGGCGGACGGGUGAGUAACGCGUGAGUAACCUGCCUUCAAGAGGGGGAUAACAUUCUGAGAAGAAUGCUAAUACCGCAUGACAUAUCGGAACCACAUGGUUUUGAUAUCAAAGAUUUUAUCGCUUGAAGAUGGACUCGCGUCCGAUUAGUUAGUUGGUGAGGCAACGGCUCACCAAGACCGCGAUCGGUAGCCGGACUGAGAGGUUGAACGGCCACAUUGGGACUGAGACACGGCCCAGACUCCUACGGGAGGCAGCAGUGGGGGAUAUUGCGCAAUGGGGGCAACCCUGACGCAGCAACGCCGCGUGAAGGAUGAAGGUUUUCGGAUUGUAAACUUCUUUUAUUAAGGACGAAAAUUGACGGUACUUAAUGAAUAAGCUCCGGCUAACUACGUGCCAGCAGCCGCGGUAAUACGUAGGGAGCAAGCGUUGUCCGGAUUUACUGGGUGUAAAGGGUGCGUAGGCGGCUUUGCAAGUCAGAUGUGAAAUCUAUGGGCUCAACCCAUAAACUGCAUUUGAAACUGUAGAGCUUGAGUGAAGUAGAGGCAGGCGGAAUUCCCCGUGUAGCGGUGAAAUGCGUAGAGAUGGGGAGGAACACCAGUGGCGAAGGCGGCCUGCUGGGCUUUAAC
This 641-nucleotide ribosomal RNA is filed under the name uncultured Lachnospiraceae bacterium. RNAcentral's name for it is "bacterial SSU rRNA". It matches the Rfam family "Bacterial small subunit ribosomal RNA", at positions 83 to 740 of the family's 1533-position model. Lineage: Bacteria; Bacillati; Bacillota; Clostridia; Lachnospirales; Lachnospiraceae. The record is from RNAcentral.